GUUACUUUAGGAUGUGUUUAGUGUUGUGUUAAAGCAGAUUUAAUUGUAUCCUAUGGUCAUUGAUGUUGUGGCGUCUCCUAUGGAUGCUGAUGUGUGGAUGUUGUGUCGUAUUUUGAUAACUUUGUUGAGCUUGUUUUUAGCUGCAUGUGUUUUCUAUCUUACUGAACGUUUAUUGGUUCAGCUGAUAAGGCUGGUUAUGACUCAAGAGGAGGAGCUGCAGACAGGUGAGGGUGUUAAAGUCCAAAUAUGAAGUCAGACUGCCAGACGCCAUUUUACAGCUCGACUGAGCAGGAGGACAACAGGAUGAGUGAUUUAAAAGAUCACUCACCAGCUGUCUGUCUCUGAAGAGUGACCGGUCUAUGGGGAAACCUAUAACCUUCAGUAAUGAACCUGGACCCUCAGACACAAAGCAGCUGACAGAGCUCGACGCCCGUUUCCAGGAGGACCAGUAUGGAAUAAUGAGAACAGCAGCAGCUAUUCUACCAAAGUCAAAAACAUUUGGCGAGAAGGAUUCUCUGUGCACCGUGUGUGAUCACUAUCACAUCUUAGUUGGGGAUGCGGAAUUAACUGUAUUCUAUGAGCAACUGAAUCGGAAAGUAGCCCAAAAACAAAACUUUCCAUCCCUUAUGGAAGUAUUGGACAGCUGUGCAUCUGACAUUUUUCCAAACUUCAACAAACUCCUUUGAGUCAUCAUUAUCCCUUCCCAUGACCUCUUGUAGUGUUGAGAGACUGUUCUCCACUGUAGGUCGCAUCAAAACCUCCCUCAGAGCAUCCAUGACUACUGUCCGUCUCAACAACCUGUCCCUCUUGUCCUUUGAAAGGGAACUAUGUGACUCUUUGGAUUAUGAUGAGAUCAUCACCAUAAGACACCAUAUUCAACGUUAAACCCAGGCGUUUACGCCUUGUUUAAUAAGGCCACAGCCUAAUAUUGGUGGUGACUCUCCUCCCCUUACUCACUUCCUCCCUCCUAAGGACAUCACCGGUACCCGCACCUGUAGUGGCAGCUCAGAAUGGAUAAGUCUACAAAUACUAUGAGGCUAUAGAAAUGCGUUUUAACUGUUGCUAUUGUUACGUGCUCUUGUUGUUGUUUUUCUCUGUCUCUCUGCUGCGCAGGUAC
Molecule: long non-coding RNA, 1117 nt
Organism: Trematomus bernacchii (emerald rockcod)
Lineage: Eukaryota; Metazoa; Chordata; Actinopteri; Perciformes; Nototheniidae
Exons: 3
Source: RefSeq, a predicted model, not a curated record